GAUUAUGGCUCAGGACGAACGCUGGCGGCGUGCUUAACACAUGCAAGUCGAACGGUGAACCCUCCUCGGAGGGGGAUCAGUGGCGAACGGGUGAGUAACACGUGAGCAACCUGCCCCUGGCUCUGGGACAACCACUGGAAACGGUGGCUAAUACCGGAUACGACCCACCUCGGCAUCGGGUGUGGGUGGAAAGUUUUUCGGCUGGGGAUGGGCUCGCGGCCUAUCAGCUUGUUGGUGGGGUGAUGGCCCACCAAGGCGACGACGGGUAGCCGGCCUGAGAGGGCGACCGGCCACACUGGGACUGAGACACGGCCCAGACUCCUACGGGAGGCAGCAGUGGGGAAUAUUGCACAAUGGGCGAAAGCCUGAUGCAGCGACGCCGCGUGAGGGAUGACGGCCUUCGGGUUGUAAACCUCUUUCAGCUCCAAAGAAGCGCAAGUGACGGUAGGAGCAGAAGAAGCACCGGCUAACUACGUGCCAGCAGCCGCGGUAAUACGUAGGGUGCAAGCGUUGUCCGGAAUUAUUGGGCGUAAAGAGCUCGUAGGCGGUGUGUCGCGUCUGCUGUGAAAACUCAGGGCUCAACUCUGAGCUUGCAGUGGGUACGGGCACACUUGAGUGCUGUAGGGGAGACUGGAAUUCCUGGUGUAGCGGUGAAAUGCGCAGAUAUCAGGAGGAACACCGGUGGCGAAGGCGGGUCUCUGGGCAGUUACUGACGCUGAGGAGCGAAAGCAUGGGGAGCGAACAGGAUUAGAUACCCUGGUAGUCCAUGCCGUAAACGUUGGGCGCUAGGUGUGGGGUCCAUUCCACGGAUUCCGUGCCGCAGCUAACGCAUUAAGCGCCCCGCCUGGGGAGUACGGCCGCAAGGCUAAAACUCAAAGGAAUUGACGGGGGCCCGCACAAGCGGCGGAGCAUGCGGAUUAAUUCGAUGCAACGCGAAGAACCUUACCAAGGCUUGACAUGCGCGGUGGAAUCCCAGAGAUGGGGUGUCAUUUAGUUGGUCGCGUACAGGUGGUGCAUGGUUGUCGUCAGCUCGUGUCGUGAGAUGUUGGGUUAAGUCCCGCAACGAGCGCAACCCUCGUUCCAUGUUGCCAGCAAUUCGGUUGGGGACUCAUGGGAGACUGCCGGGGUCAACUCGGAGGAAGGUGGGGAUGACGUCAAAUCAUCAUGCCCCUUAUGUCUUGGGCUUCACGCAUGCUACAAUGGCCAGUACAGAGGGCUGCGAUACCGCGAGGUGGAGCGAAUCCCAAAAAGCUGGUCUCAGUUCGGAUCGGGGUCUGCAACUCGACCCCGUGAAGUCGGAGUCGCUAGUAAUCGCAGAUCAGCAACGCUGCGGUGAAUACGUUCCCGGGCCUUGUACACACCGCCCGUCACGUCAUGAAAGUCGGUAACACCCGAAGCCGGUGG
This 1404-nucleotide ribosomal RNA is filed under the name Kineococcus sp. Its description in RNAcentral is "bacterial SSU rRNA". It matches the Rfam family "Bacterial small subunit ribosomal RNA". Lineage: Bacteria; Bacillati; Actinomycetota; Actinomycetes; Kineosporiales; Kineosporiaceae. The record is from RNAcentral.